AAAGCUCUUUGAGGUGUUGAAUGGUUGUGGGUUCAAUUCCUAGGGAGGGAGGUUUAUGAGAAACCUUGUUUUAAAAGAUGUAGCAAUUAUGUUUUUAAAUUAGUGGUUGAAAGAUUUUAGGAAGAGCAGUUACUUUUAAGUUUUAUUUUAAAAAGAAAUGAAAACUUAGAAAGAGUGGUACGUUAUUUUUGUGAGAGAAGAAAAAGAUAGCAUUAGACGGAGAAACUGAAGGGAAGGAGAGUCUAGAGAAGAAAGGGUGAAAGCUUAUUAUUUUGAUUGGUUAAGAUAUGGAAAGUUCACCUUUACAUGAAAAUAUUUAUAUUAUUGAUUUUGAGAAUUUAAUUAUUUAUUGGUUUAAAUACCUUUUUAGUCCCCAAGUUGGGGUCUGAAUUUUUGUUUUGUCCCCGGUUUCAAAAAUGAAGCCCUUUGGUCCCCAUGUUUUCAAUUUUGAGUGCAAUCGAUCUCUUCCGUUAAGUAGGUAAAAAUGGCGUUAACUGAGACUUACGUGGUUGCACUUUUUUUUCUCUUUCAUCUGCUUUUUCUGACACUUUUUUAUUUUUCUCUUGUUUUCUAUUUCUCUCUCCUCUGCACUUAUUUCUGCUCUUCCCUGCCAUCCACUUUUUUUUUUAUCUUCCAUCAUUAACUUCUUCUAUUGCUUCCCAACAUUUAUUAUGUGUUUACUUUCGUACAUGGACAGAUAAUCUAAAUCUGGAAAUAUCUUGAAGGUCAAUGCACAAAACACUCACCACUACAUCCUCCGUGCUUUCUCGAUUUCUUGUUCUCUCUCGCACUUGCUUCUUCUUCUCCCAACGCCAUUUGUAGUACCACCACCACUCUCUCUUCUCUCUUCCUCCUUCUCUU
Molecule: long non-coding RNA, 861 nt
Filed under: Vigna radiata
Lineage: Eukaryota; Viridiplantae; Streptophyta; Magnoliopsida; Fabales; Fabaceae
Description: long non-coding RNA (VRAD_LNC018122)
Source: RNAcentral